Molecule: ribosomal RNA, 253 nt
Filed under: uncultured bacterium
Lineage: Bacteria
Description: partial 16S ribosomal RNA
Rfam family: Bacterial small subunit ribosomal RNA
Source: RNAcentral
UACGUAGGGUGCGAGCGUUGUCCGGAAUUAUUGGGCGUAAAGAGCUCGUAGGCGGUUCGUCGCGUCGGCUGUGAAAACCCGGAGCUCAACUCCGGGCCUGCAGUCGAUACGGGCGGACUCGAGUUCGGCAGGGGAGACUGGAAUUCCUGGUGUAGCGGUGAAAUGCGCAGAUAUCAGGAGGAACACCGGUGGCGAAGGCGGGUCUCUGGGCCACUACUGACGCUGAGAAGCGAAAGCGUGGGGAGCGAACAGG